AUACUAAAAUAGCGUAUAUACUAAAAUUGGAAUAAUACAGAGAAGAUUUUCAUGGCCCCUGAACAAUGAUGACAUGUAGAUUAGUGAAGUGUUCUACAUUUUU
Pteronotus mesoamericanus is the source of this 103-nucleotide small nuclear RNA. The record is from RefSeq and is a predicted model, not a curated record. Lineage: Eukaryota; Metazoa; Chordata; Mammalia; Chiroptera; Mormoopidae.